AGCGAACGCUGGCGGCAGGCCUAACACAUGCAAGUCGAACGGAUCCUUCGGGAUUAGUGGCGGACGGGUGAGUAACACGUGGGAACGUGCCCUUUGGUUCGGAACAACUCAGGGAAACUUGAGCUAAUACCGGAUGUGCCCUUCGGGGGAAAGAUUUAUCGCCAUUGGAGCGGCCCGCGUCUGAUUAGCUAGUUGGUGAGGUAACGGCCCACCAAGGCGACGAUCAGUAGCUGGUCUGAGAGGAUGAUCAGCCACACUGGGACUGAGACACGGCCCAGACUCCUACGGGAGGCAGCAGUGGGGAAUCUUGCGCAAUGGGCGAAAGCCUGACGCAGCCAUGCCGCGUGAAUGAUGAAGGUCUUAGGAUUAUAAAAUUCUUUCAGCGGGGACGAUAAUGACGGUACCCGCAGAAGAAGCUCCGGCUAACUUCGUG
RNAcentral lists this ribosomal RNA (433 nucleotides) under uncultured bacterium. Its description in RNAcentral is "partial 16S ribosomal RNA". It matches the Rfam family "Bacterial small subunit ribosomal RNA", at positions 29 to 507 of the family's 1533-position model. The record is from RNAcentral.